Molecule: small nuclear RNA, 107 nt
Filed under: Mus spretus (western wild mouse)
Lineage: Eukaryota; Metazoa; Chordata; Mammalia; Rodentia; Muridae
Source: RNAcentral
GUGCUUGCUUUGGCAGCACACAUACUAAAAUUGGAACUAUACAGAGAAGAUUAGUGUGGCCCCAGCACAAAACUGGCAUGCAAAAUCAUGAAGCAUUUCAUAUAUUU